Non-coding RNA from Lysinibacillus odysseyi 34hs-1 = NBRC 100172, 142 nucleotides. The record is from Rfam. NCBI's taxonomy places the organism in Bacteria, Bacillati, Bacillota, Bacilli, Caryophanales, Bacillaceae.
UUCACCUUUAAUGGCAGUCCUGAGAGGCUGAGAAGGUACAUGUGAAGCGACGAAUGAUUUGUGCUGCAAAUCUUUACGUACGCGCUAUUUCCACACGCGAACUUUCCAAAUCCUCUAGAGACAAUCUAGAGGAUUUUUUAUU